Small nuclear RNA from Trichechus manatus latirostris (Florida manatee), 132 nucleotides. The record is from RefSeq and is a predicted model, not a curated record. Lineage: Eukaryota; Metazoa; Chordata; Mammalia; Sirenia; Trichechidae.
GAGUUCUAUGAAAGGAUAAAAGGUUAGCAGUGCCCUUCAUAAGGAUGGAAGAGGCCCUCUCGGGCCUUACAACACGCAUAAAUAAGGUUAAGGCAUUGCCACCCACUUUGUGGCAUCUAACCACAGUUUUGA